AUUGAACGCUGGCGGCAUGCCUUACACAUGCAAGUCGAACGGCAGCACGGGAGCAAUCCUGGUGGCGAGUGGCGAACGGGUGAGUAAUAUAUCGGAACGUGCCCAGUCGUGGGGAUAACGUAGCGAAAGCUACGCUAAUACCGCAUACGAUCUAUGGAUGAAAGCGGGGGAUCGCAAGACCUCGCACGAUUGGAGCGGCCGAUAUCAGAUUAGGUAGUUGGUGAGGUAAAGGCUCACCAAGCCGACGAUCUGUAGCUGGUCUGAGAGGACGACCAGCCACACUGGGACUGAGACACGGCCCAGACUCCUACGGGAGGCAGCAGUGGGGAAUUUUGGACAAUGGGCGCAAGCCUGAUCCAGCAAUGCCGCGUGCAGGAUGAAGGCC
RNAcentral lists this ribosomal RNA (385 nucleotides) under uncultured bacterium. Its description in RNAcentral is "bacterial SSU rRNA". It matches the Rfam family "Bacterial small subunit ribosomal RNA", at positions 30 to 416 of the family's 1533-position model. The record is from RNAcentral.